This 328-nucleotide long non-coding RNA is filed under the name Brassica napus (rape). Its description in RNAcentral is "long non-coding RNA (BNAP_LNC010902)". The record is from RNAcentral. Lineage: Eukaryota; Viridiplantae; Streptophyta; Magnoliopsida; Brassicales; Brassicaceae.
UUAGUCUUCUUUUCCAAUAUUUUAUUUUUAUAUAGAGUUAAACGAAAAAUUGUACUAUAAAUAAAUCUAUAUACAAUGGAUCACAUAAUAGGCUUCUAAAAUAUAAGAUAAAUUAGAUAGAUCAACUAAAAUGAUCAAAAUUAUAAAAUAAAUGUGGAAAGCUUAGAGUCAUUAAAAGAAUAUCAAUUUUUUCUUCUUUAUAAUUCGAGGAUAUCCGACGGACCGAAGUCCAACCAACUAUUUUUUGAAAGUCUGUUUAUCAACACCAGGUAGAUCAUCGUUACUGUGGUCACAAGCAGAUAAAUUUAAAAUGGUAGAUUUUGAAUUG